UAGGCGUAAAUGAUGCGAGUUAAGUGUGGGGGCAUCUACGAGAUGGCCCUGUGCUGUAGGGUAGCCGUUAAACUCGCUGCCUGGGGAGUACGGUCGCAGGGCUGAAACUUAAAGGAAUUGGCGGGGGGAGCACCACAAGAGGUGGAGGCUGCGGUUCAAUUGGACUCAACGCCGGAAACUCAUCGGGAGCGACAGCAGUAUGAUUGCCAGGUUGAUGACCUUGCUUGACAAGCUGAGAGGAGGUGCAUGGCGUAGUCGUGU
Molecule: ribosomal RNA, 261 nt
Filed under: uncultured archaeon
Lineage: Archaea
Description: partial 16S ribosomal RNA
Rfam family: Archaeal small subunit ribosomal RNA
Source: RNAcentral